RNAcentral lists this ribosomal RNA (422 nucleotides) under uncultured bacterium. RNAcentral's name for it is "partial 16S ribosomal RNA". It matches the Rfam family "Bacterial small subunit ribosomal RNA", at positions 360 to 774 of the family's 1533-position model. The record is from RNAcentral.
AAUAUUUGACCAGGGGGGCAACGCCGAUCCAGCCAUGCCGCGUGUGUUAAGAAGGNCUNNGGAUUNUNAAGCCCUUUAAGUUUNNNNNAAGGGCUUUAGGGUAAGACCCUGAAGUUUUGACGUUACCAACAGAAUAAGCAUCGGAUACUUCUGUGCCAGCAGCCGCGGUAAUACAGAGGGUGCAAGCGUUAAUCGGAAUUACUGGGCGUAAAGCGCGCGUAGGAGGUUCAGUAAGAUGGGUGUAAAAUCCCCGGGCUUAACCUGGGAACUGCUUUCAUAACUGCUGAGCUAGAGUACGGUAGAGGGUAGUGGAAUAUCCUGUGUAGCGGUGAAAUGCGUAGAUAUAGGAAGGAACACCAGUGGCGAAGGCGACUACCUGGACUGAUACUGACACUGAGGUGCGAAAGCGUGGGGAGCAAACA